AUGAUUGAUCUAAUGCAAUUGCUGCAAUUAUCUAACUUAUUAAGAGUUAGUGAGUUGUUGGAGGAUUAAUUAGCAAUUGGAUUGCUAAUUGGAUUGAUUAAGCAAUGAAGCGUGGAUCAAGUCUAAUUGAAUUGGAUUCAAUUUGACUUGAUUUAGAUUUGAUUUAGAUCAAGCCUAAUUGGAUUAUAAGAUAAUCUAAUUACAGGAGAGACCAAAUUCUUAUUUGAUAUGAAUUUGGGUGUCAUCCUAAUUAGAUUAGGAUUUAAUCAAGAAAAAUUAGGUUCCUAAUCGGAUUAGAAUUUCAAUCUCUUUUGGGUUCAAUCAACUCCUAAUUAGAUUAAGAUUUGAUCUGAUUAAACUAAGCACAAAGAAAAAUCCCAAUUGAAUUAGGAUUCUCCCUCUUUCUUGUGCCACAUCAAAGCCCCACAUCCCAACUUGAUUUGUGCCAAUAUUCCAUGCUAAAAACUCUUUCACGCCCUCUUGAGUUUGCAUGAAAUAUUCACACCCCAAGAUGGAAACUCAUCAUGCCAAGAAAAUAGGGAGGCUCUUGGAUGCCCCCCAAACUCUUUUUUUAACCCUAAUCCAAUGCCUAUAAAAGAGGAGGCCUCUUGGGCUUGGAAAAUAAGGGUGGUUUUCAAUGUGAGAAAAGAAAAAAAUUCAAAAGGAAAGGCUCCUUCUUGGUGUGAGAAAAGAAGAGGAAGAAAGUCUUCCUCGUAGGCAUGAGAAAGGAAGAAGAGUCUUCCUUGUGUGCAUAGAUUUGAGAGAGGAAAAGUUCUUCUUUGGAGGCAUGGAAAAAGUAGAGAAAAAGUUUCUCUUGUGCAUGGAAGAAAGAAAAAGAAAGUUCUUCGUAGGCAUGAAAGAAAGAAGAGUUCUUUCUUAGUCUUCUAGAUCUCUAGCAUAGAGAUCUUAUGCGUAGAUUACAGAAAGAAAAGAAGAGAGUCUUCUUAUUUUUUUUCUUUUUUUUUUCUUCUUCUCUAAGAGAGUCUUGAGAGAUAAAGAAGAGUCUUCAUCAACCAUCAAGAGGCGUCUUCUGCAAGAAAACUAGCAUCCCGAUGAAAACACAGACCUCCGAUUGGAUUUGAAGAUCUCGGAGUAUACCAUGAUCAUCAGCUGCGAUGUUCAUCAAUCCGCGUAAAGAUAUGAAGAUCAGAUCUCCAAUUUGAUUUAUUUUCUUCAUCAAAUUUUAGAUUGAAUGCUUUCAUAUUCAUAUAAUAGGUCUUAGGUGGUUAGCAAAUUAAAUCUGA
RNAcentral lists this long non-coding RNA (1244 nucleotides) under Elaeis guineensis (African oil palm). RNAcentral describes it as "long non-coding RNA (EGUI_LNC007000)". The record is from RNAcentral. Lineage: Eukaryota; Viridiplantae; Streptophyta; Magnoliopsida; Arecales; Arecaceae.